GUGGGGAAUCUUCCGCAAUGGACGAAAGUCUGACGGAGCAACGCCGCGUGAGUGAAGAAGGUCUUCGGAUCGUAAAGCUCUGUUGUACGGGACGAAUGUUGAAGGCGUGAAUAAUGCCAUCAAAUGACGGUACUGUACGAGGAAGCCACGGCUAACUACGUGCCAGCAGCCGCGGUAAUACGUAGGUGGCGAGCGUUGUCCGGAAUUAUUGGGCGUAAAGGGAGCGCAGGUGGGAAGGUAAGUCUGUUUUAAAAGCGUCGGGCUCAACCCGAUGAGGGAACAGAAACUAUUUUUCUUGAGUGCAGGAGAGGAAAGCGGAAUUCCUAGUGUAGCGGUGAAAUGCGUAGAUAUUAGGAGGAACACCAGUGGCGAAGGCGGCUUUCUGGACUGUAACUGACACUGAGGCUCGAAAGCCAGGGGAGCGAACGGGAUUAGAAACCCGUGUAGUCC
RNAcentral lists this ribosomal RNA (450 nucleotides) under uncultured bacterium. Its description in RNAcentral is "partial 16S ribosomal RNA". It matches the Rfam family "Bacterial small subunit ribosomal RNA", at positions 354 to 796 of the family's 1533-position model. The record is from RNAcentral.